This 135-nucleotide transfer RNA is filed under the name Euroglyphus maynei. It matches the Rfam family "tRNA". Rfam says of the family: Transfer RNA (tRNA) molecules are approximately 80 nucleotides in length. Their secondary structure includes four short double-helical elements and three loops (D, anti-codon, and T loops). Lineage: Eukaryota; Metazoa; Arthropoda; Arachnida; Sarcoptiformes; Pyroglyphidae. The record is from Rfam by way of RNAcentral.
GGCCUAGUGGUCUAGGGGUAUGAUUUGCGCUUUGGGUGUUAUUUUCCAGGUUCCGUUUGAAUUUCGGAAAUCCUUGAAUGGUUAAUUAAUAAACAGAUAUGCGCGAGGUCCCGGGUUCAAAUCCCGGCUGGGCCC